Molecule: ribosomal RNA, 253 nt
Filed under: uncultured bacterium
Lineage: Bacteria
Description: partial 16S ribosomal RNA
Rfam family: Bacterial small subunit ribosomal RNA
Source: RNAcentral
GACAGAGGGUGCAAACGUUGCUCGGAAUUACUGGGCGUAAAGCGCGUGUAGGCGGGAAGAUAAGUCGGGUGCGAAAUCCCUGGGCUCAACCUAGGAACUGCAUUCGAAACUGUCUUUCUGGAGUGAUGGAGAGGAAAGCGGAAUUCCUGGUGUAGAGGUGAAAUUCGUAGAUAUCAGGAGGAACACCGGUGGCGAAGGCGGCUUCCUGGACACUAACUGACGCUGAGACGCGAAAGCGUGGGGAGCAAACAGG